CGUGCCACCGAAGGGGCCGGCCCAGGGUGCGACGCCGGAGGGGCUUGGGCAGGGCUCGGCAGCAGUUCCAGGACCAGCUACAUGGGCAUGUCCAGAGGGAAUGGAUCCAAGUUCAAGUUAUUUGCUUAAAAUUAAAUUGUUUGGCAAUCGAAAGAAAGCUUGAAAGGACAUAAGAUGUUUUUGUUUUGAGAAGGUCAUCGAUUGUGACUUGACAAAUUAUAAGGAUUUGGUUGAAUCAAUUGUAGAGCAGUAUCCGCCGGGUUAUUUGGAAGUUGCACAUGUGCAGUAUUAUGAUGAUGUUCUUAAAACUUGUCCAGAAGUAAAAUCUGACCAAGAUUUGAUGCUUAUGUUUGAAAUUACUGCUGCCAUACAUGUACAAGUGUACAUCAACGAAGGGAAAGAAGAUGGAGCUUGCUAAAAAGGAUGAAAUUUGUGCUAUGGUACCAUUUGACAGCCCUGCAAUGGGCACUAGAAGCAAAAAGACUAGUCCAACCAGCCCUGCAAUGAGCACAAGAAGCAAAAGAAGGCUUAGCUUGUGAACAUGUCAUAUUGUGUGAACUCAUGUAUAUGAAGCUUUGGUCACUUGGACUAUGUAUGUGAACCUGGAUAUGAUGACAAUCCUUCUGUGUUGCUCAUAUGAUGUGAACUUGAAUGUUGGACCUAUAUAUAUGAACCUGGAUAUGUUGUACGUGAUAUAUGCGUAUUUGGAUAUGAGCCUGGAUGUUUAUGUGCAAAUCUGAAUAUUAUUUGUUGAAA
Long non-coding RNA from Hordeum vulgare subsp. vulgare (domesticated barley), 756 nucleotides. RefSeq lists it as uncharacterized. NCBI's taxonomy places the organism in Eukaryota, Viridiplantae, Streptophyta, Magnoliopsida, Poales, Poaceae. The record is from RefSeq and is a predicted model, not a curated record. The transcript is spliced from 2 exons.